RNAcentral lists this ribosomal RNA (487 nucleotides) under uncultured soil bacterium. RNAcentral's name for it is "bacterial SSU rRNA". It matches the Rfam family "Bacterial small subunit ribosomal RNA", at positions 26 to 509 of the family's 1533-position model. The record is from RNAcentral.
AGAGUGAACGCUGGCGGUAGGCCUAACACAUGCAAGUCGAACGGCAGCACAGUAGGAGCUUGCUCUUACGGGUGGCGAGUGGCGGACGGGUGAGGAAUACAUCGGAAUCUACCUUUUGGUGGGGGAUAACGUAGGGAAACUUACGCUAAUACCGCAUACGCCCUUCGGGGGAAAGCCGGGGACCAGCAAUGGCCUGGCGCUGAUAGAUGAGCCGAUGUCGAUUAGCUAGUUGUGAGGUAAUGGCUCACCAAGGCGACGAUCCGUAGCUGGUCUGAGAGGAUGAUCAGCCACACUGGAACUGGAGACACGGUCCAGACCUCCGUACGGGAGGCAGCGAGUGGGAAUAGUGGAACAAGUGGCGCAAGCCUGAUCCAGCCAUACCGGCGUGGGUGAAGAACGGUCCUUACGGGUUGUAAAGUCCCUUUUUAGUUAGGGAAAAGAAAGUCUAAUUACGGUUUAACGACCGGUUGUUACGUCGAACGUAACC